RNAcentral lists this ribosomal RNA (338 nucleotides) under uncultured Pelotomaculum sp. Its description in RNAcentral is "bacterial SSU rRNA". It matches the Rfam family "Bacterial small subunit ribosomal RNA", at positions 1044 to 1382 of the family's 1533-position model. Lineage: Bacteria; Bacillati; Bacillota; Clostridia; Eubacteriales; Desulfotomaculaceae. The record is from RNAcentral.
CAUGGUUGUCGUCAGCUCGUGUCGUGAGAUGUUGGGUUAAGUCCCGCAACGAGCGCAACCCUACGUUUAGUUGCUAACGCGUGAAGGCGAGCACUCUAGACGAACUGCCGUUGACAAAACGGAGGAAGUGGGGAUGACGUCAAAUCAUCAUGCCCCUUAUGUUCUGGGCUACACACGUGCUACAAUGGCCGGUACAGACGGACGCAAAGCCGCGAGGUGGAGACAAAUCCUAAAAAGCCGGUCUCAGUUCGGAUUGCAGGCUGCAAUUCGCCUGCAUGAAGUCGGAAUCGCUAGUAAUCGCAGGUCAGCGUACUGCGGUGAAUACGUUCCCGGGCCUU